ACGUAGGGGGCAAGCGUUGUCCGGAUUCACUGGGUGUAAAGGGCGCGUAGGCGGGUUGGUAAGUUAGAGGUGAAAUCCUACGGCUCAACCGUAGAACUGCCUCUAAUACUGCUAACCUUGAGUGCAGAAGAGAGAAGCGGAAUUCCAGGUGUAGUGGUGAAAUACGUAGAUAUCUGGAAGAACACCAGUUGCGAAGGCGGCUUCUUGGUCUGUUACUGACGCUCAGGCGCGAAAGCGUGGGGAUCAAACAG
RNAcentral lists this ribosomal RNA (251 nucleotides) under uncultured prokaryote. Its description in RNAcentral is "partial 16S ribosomal RNA". It matches the Rfam family "Bacterial small subunit ribosomal RNA", at positions 525 to 775 of the family's 1533-position model. The record is from RNAcentral.